CAGUGGGGAAUAUUGGACAAUGGGCGCAAGCCUGAUCCAGCAAUGCCGCGUGUGUGAAGAAGGCCUUCGGGUUGUAAAGCACUUUUAUCAGGAGCGAAAUACUAGCGGUUAAUAACCGGAGGGGCUGACGGUACCUGAGGAAUAAGCACCGGCUAACGACGUGCCAGCAGCCGCGGUAAUACGAAGGGGGCUAGUGCUAAUCGGAAUUACUGGGCGUAAAGGGUGCGUAGGCGGUUUGUUAAGUCUGUUGUGAAAGCCCCGGGCUCAACCUGGGAAUGGCAAUGGAUACUGGCAAGCUAGAGUGUGUCAGAGGGGGGUGGAAUUUCCGGUGUAGCGGUGAAAUGCGUAGAUAUCGGAAGGAACAUCAGUGGCGAAGGCGGCCAUCUGGGACAACACUGACGCUGAAGCACGAAAGCGUGGGGAGCAAACAGGAUUAGA
Molecule: ribosomal RNA, 438 nt
Filed under: uncultured bacterium
Lineage: Bacteria
Description: bacterial SSU rRNA
Rfam family: Bacterial small subunit ribosomal RNA
Source: RNAcentral